RNAcentral lists this ribosomal RNA (450 nucleotides) under uncultured bacterium. RNAcentral's name for it is "bacterial SSU rRNA". It matches the Rfam family "Bacterial small subunit ribosomal RNA", at positions 114 to 576 of the family's 1533-position model. The record is from RNAcentral.
CACGUGGGUAACCUGCCUCAAAGUGGGGGAUAGCCUUUCGAANGGGAGAUUAAUACCGCAUAAGCCUCCGGUGCCGCAUGGCGCUGAAGGAAAAGGAGCAAUUCGCUUUGAGAUGGACCCGCGGCGCAUUAGCUAGUUGGUGAGGUAACGGCUCACCAAGGCCACGAUGCGUAGCCGACCUGAGAGGGUGAUCGGCCACAUUGGAACUGAGACACGGUNCAGACUCCUACGGGAGGCAGCAGUGGGGAAUAUUGCACAAUGGGCGAAAGCCUGAUGCAGCAACGCCCGCGUGAGUGAUGAAGGCCUUCNGGUCGUAAAGCUCUUUGAUCAGGGAUGAUAAUGACAGUACCUGAAAAACAAGCCACGGCUAACUACGUGCCAUCAGCCCGCGGUAAUACCUAAGUGGCGAAGCGUUGUNCCGGAAUUACUGGGCGUUAAGAUUCCGGUAGG